AGUGAACGCUGGCGGCGUGCUUAACACAUGCAAGUCGAGCGAGAACGGGUUAUAGCUUGCUAUAAUUGUCAGCUAAGUGGCGCACGGGUGAGUAAUGUAUAGGUAAUAUGCCUCUUACUAAGGGAUAACAAAUGGAAACGUUUGCUAAUACCUUAUACUCCUUAUUAACAGAAGUUAAUAAGGGAAAGAUUUAUUGGGAAGAGAUUAGCCUGUAUUGUAUCAGUUAGUUGGUGGGGUAAUGGCUUACCAAGACUAUGACACAUAACUGGUUUGAGAGGAUGAUCAGUCACACUGGAACUGAGACACGGUCCAGACUCCUACGGGAGGCAGCAGUGGGGAAUAUUGCACAAUGGACGAAAGUCUGAUGCAGCAACGCCGCGUGGAGGAUGACACAUUUCGGUGCGUAAACUCCUUUUAUAUGAGAAGAUAAUGACGGUAUUAUAUGAAUAAGCACCGGCUAACUCCGUGCCAGCCGCCGCCGUAA
Molecule: ribosomal RNA, 484 nt
Filed under: uncultured bacterium
Lineage: Bacteria
Description: partial 16S ribosomal RNA
Rfam family: Bacterial small subunit ribosomal RNA
Source: RNAcentral